This 237-nucleotide long non-coding RNA is filed under the name Coccomyxa subellipsoidea. Its description in RNAcentral is "long non-coding RNA (CSUB_LNC000486)". The record is from RNAcentral. Lineage: Eukaryota; Viridiplantae; Chlorophyta; Trebouxiophyceae; Coccomyxaceae.
AUUUGAAAUUAGGUUUCCACUGUAUUUUCAGUGACCGCUCUUCUGCUUGUGGAGGAUCACAAGCAGAAGUGAUGUAUGCAGACACUUUGGAUCCCGAUCGAGGCGCCCCUGGCCCUCGUAACAAGGGACCCGGAGGCAGAGGAAACGAGCGUUAUUCACGGCAGAUUGAUGAGCUGGAUUACAUCGUGCCGCGGGGUGGCUAUUACUUCGAGGUUGGUUGAUCAUUGUUGAGUUGGA